This 24008-nucleotide long non-coding RNA is filed under the name Triticum aestivum (bread wheat). Its description in RNAcentral is "long non-coding RNA (TAES_LNC023372)". The record is from RNAcentral. Lineage: Eukaryota; Viridiplantae; Streptophyta; Magnoliopsida; Poales; Poaceae.
UUCUGACCAACCACCUCCUCCCAUCGAUCCAACCCAUGAAGCAUGGAAGCCCCGCAGGCAUCCAGCGCGCCCACAAGCUCCUUCUCCCCGAUGCCCAUCGUCCCCGCCAUGGUUUUGGAGCUCACCUCGGUCGCUGAUCCGAGCCGCCCCGGGAACCGACGCCGCUGGAGUCCCUCCUCACCUACAAGACCACCGCCGCCCUACCACCUUGUCUCCUCGUCCGACGCGACUCCUGCCUCCUCUGCUUCACCCUGCACCGAACGACAAGCCGCAGCUGUCGUCCCUCCUCACCUAUAAGACCACCACCGCCCUACCACCUUGUCUCCUCGUCCGACGCGACUCCUGCCUCCUCUGCUUCACCCUGCGCUGAACGACAAGCCGCAGCUGUCGUCCCAAGGUCCAGGCCGUCGUCGCGUGCCCAAGCUCCUCCGACCCCUACAGACUCAUCUCCCGCCGUGCUAGUGACCAGUGGCUGAUCGCCGGAGCACACUGAACCAGCAGCUGCUCCAGGCCGUCGCGCCAGUCUUCCUCGCCCUCUGAAGACCUAGACAACCAAGCCGUGCCCUCCUUCUCCUCCUUCCCUGCUGCUCUCUCUCUCUCUGAAAGUCCCUGCCUCCCAUCCUUGCAGGUGUGGUCGUCGACCGCCAUGGCACCGCUGCCCUCGUUGUUCACCAGGAUGGGUCCCGAUCUGGAUCGCUCUGCUGUCGGGUCCAAGCCGCCGCCGUCCCAGGCUCCUGCAGUCGCGCCACCAUCAUCCCGGACAUCCCUGCUUUGCCUUGUCCAUCCCCUCGGUCUCUACUUCCUUUUGCACCAAGCCCGAGCCAGAGGAUGAGCAGAUCAUUUGAUCCCCGCUCCCCUGCCUCGCGUUGACCGUGCCUACAGCACGCCAGGCCGCAACGCAACCACUUUCCCCUGCCGGCCCCCCUCUUCGCCAGCUGGGAUUGGCCCAUGGGUGAGCCACAAGUGCCCUCCUAUUUUUUCAUUGUUGGGCCAGCUAGAUAUGGCCCGAUGUGUUUUUUUCGUUAUGCAAAUUUAUCAUUUAACCUGGUCAUUGCAUAUUUACAGGAUAUGCCAUCAUAUUGAAAUGCUCACAACUAAAUAACCGUGCAUCGGAUUAAAAUGUUUUAUAUACUUAAAAUGCUUAGAAUUUUGUGUAGUCUCAUAAUAUACAACUUUCAAGAAUGUUUAAAAUGUUUAAAAAUGUUGUUUGAUUAAAUUUGCUCAAAUGCCAUGCUAAAAUGAUUUAUUUCAUAACUAAUUAACCGUAGCUCCAUUUUAAAUAAACUUUAUAUGUAAAUGGGGUAGAAAAUGCCUAGUUUAACAUGGUGGCAUUACUUUGCAUGUUUAAUAACUAUAAAAUUGUGUUUAGGGCAGAACAGUACCAAAUUCAAAUAUUGCAUAUGGGGAUUUUCUGGAAUUGUUGCUUGUUGUUCCGGCCUCAUUUAAACUUGUCUAGAUAGGUAGUUUUAUUAUGCUUCACCCCUUGCCAUGCUAACCAACAUUUAAUUUUGUUGAGUACAUAAACGGGAGAGAACUAAAUAAGUCAUGUGGUGUUUCAUCAAUAUGCAACUCGUUGCAUAUUGAGUUCCACUUAACUUGUAGUUUUGCUUGUGCACUUUGCCAUGCCAUGCCUCAUUAAACCGGACAUGCAUCAUACUUGGUUGUGCAUCAUGCCAUGUUUAUGUGAUGGUUGUUUACUAUGUUGCUUGCUUCCUUCUGGGUUGCUUCUCUCUUUAGCUUCGGUUCCGUUUCGGAGUUGUGAGGAUUCGUUCGACUACGUCCGUUUGCCUUCUUCAUGGACUUGUUCUUCUUCCUUGCGGGAUCUCAGGCAAGAUGGCCAUACCAUCGAAAUCACUUCUAUAUUUGCUUUCUAGUUGUUGGUGUCAAAACCGGUGGAUCUCGGGUAGGGGGUCCCGAACUGUGCGUCAAGGAUCGAUGGUAACAGGAGACGGGGGACACGAUGUUUACCUAGGUUUGGGCCCUCUCUAUGGAGGUAAUACCCUACUUCCUGCUUGAUUGAUCUUGAUGAAUAUGAGUAUUACAAGAGUUGAUCUACCACGAGAUCGUAAUGGCUAAACCCUAGAAGUCUAGCCUAUGUGGGUAUGGUAAUGAGUAUAUGUAUCUGGCCUUUCCGGACUAUCCCCUUCGGUUUAUAUAGACACCGAGGGGAUCUAGGGUUUACAUGGAGUCGGUUACAUAAAAAGGAACCUUUGGUCGCCAAGCUUGCCUUCCACGCCAAGUAGAGUCCAAUCCAGAUAUGGUGCAGUCUUCGGCCUUCAUGUCUUCACAACCCAUCAGUCCGGCCCAUGGAUAACAGGCCGGACGCCCAAGGACUGCUUAGUCCAGGACUCCCUCACUAGUUGUUCGCUCUACCGCUAUGUCGCGCUACCUACCACUUGCUUAUCAUGCCUCCCAUAUUGCCAUGUGAAGCCUCUAACCCACCUUUCCUAGCAAACCAUUGUUUGGCUAAGUUACCGCUUUGCUCAGCCCCUCUUAUAGCGUUGUUAGUUGCAGGUGAAGCUGAUGUUUGUUCCAUGUUGGAACAUGUAUAUGUUGGGAUAUCAUAAUAUCUCUUAUUUAAUUAAUGCAUCUAUAUACUUGGUAAACGGUGGAAGGCUCGGCCUUAUGCCUGGUGUUUUGUUCCACUCUUGCCGCCCUAGUUUCCGUCAUACCGGUGUUAUGUUUCUUGAUUUUGUGUUCCUUACGCAGUUGGGUGUUAUGGGAACCCCUUGACAGUUCGCUUUGAAUAAAACUCCUCCAGCAAGGCCCAACCUUGGUUUUACCAUUUGCCUCACCACCACCUAUACUUUUCCCUUGGGAGUCGCGCUCCCGAGGGUCAUCUUUAUUUUAACCCCCCGGGCUAGUGCUUCUCUAAGUGCUGGUCUGAACCGAGCCGCCUGCGGGGCCACCUCGGCGAAACUCGAGGUCUGGUUUUACUCGUAGCUUGUCUCAUUCGAUGUUGCCCUGAGAAUGAGAUACAUGCAACUCCUAUCGGGAUUGUCGACACAUCGGGUGGCUUUGCUGGUCUUGUUUUACCAUUGUAGAAAUGUCUUGUAACUAGGAUUCCGAAUCUGAUCGGGUCUCCCUGGGAGAAGGAAUAUCCUUCGUUGACCAUGAGAGCUUGUGAUGGGCUAAGUUGGGACACCCCUGCAGGGUAUAAACUUUCAAGAUCCGUGCCCACGGUUAUGUAGCAGAUGGGAAUUUGUUGACAUUCGGUUGUAGAGAACUUGACACUUAACUUAAUUAAAAUGAAUCAACCGUCUGUGUAGCCGUGAUGGUCUCUUCUCAGCGAGUCCGGGAAGUGAACACGGAUCUUGUGUUAUGUUUGAACGUAAGUAGCUUCAGGAUCACUUCUUGAUCACUUCUAGCUUCUCGACUAUUGCAUCGCUUCUCUUCUUGCUCUCAUUUGCGUAUGUUAGCCACCAUAUGUGCUUAGUGCCUGCUGCAGCUCCACCUCAUUACCCUAUCCUACCCAUAAGCUUAAAUAGUCUUGAUCUCGCGGGUGUGAGAUUGCUGAGUCCUUGUGACUCACGGAUACUUCCAAACAGUUGCAGGUGCCGAUGAUGCCAGUGCAGGUGACGCAACCCCGCUCAAGUGGGAGCUCGAUGAAGAUCUUGAUCAUUGUUUUGUUUCGUUUCCCAUUGAUCAGUAGUGGAGCCUAGUUGGGGCGAUCGGGGAUCUAGCAUUUGGGGUUGUCUUCCUUUAUUUUGGUUCCGUAUUCGGACCUUGUUUGUAAUUUGUAUGAUGUAUGUUUAACUUGUAUUUGUGUGAAGUGGUGAUUGUAAGCCAACUCUUUAUCCCUUUUUAUUCAGUACAUGGGAUUGUGUGAAGAUUACCCCUCUUGUGACAAACCUACCAUGCUGCUAUGCCUCUAAGUCGUGCCCCGACACGUGGGAGAUAUAGCCGCAUUGUGGGUGUUAUAAGUUGGUAAUCAGAGCCAUCCCCGACUUAGGAGCCCCCUGCUUGAUCGAAUCGCUGACGUUGUUGAGUCUAGAACAAAAUGUUUUGAGUCUUAGGAUUAUAUAUAUCAGAGAGUAGGAUUAUUUUUACUCCCCUAUCCCUUCAUCGCUCUGGUGAGGCCUCCUGACGUAGAAGUUUUGACUCUCCUCUCCUCAAAUUUCACGAUUUUUUUAGAAUCACACGGGUAUCUUGGAAUCGUUCUGAUAGUCUUGUGACGAGAACAUUGUUCUUGGUGCCUCCUGACAUUUAGGGGUUGUGGUAGUGUCCCGGGGAGUUGAGCUCGGAGGUGUUGUCGUCACAAUUUUAUCGCUGGAGUUCUAGAAUACCUGAGUUCGCUGAAAUCAAAAAUCUCUUUUAUUCAGUUGUUGGUGAGAUAACCUCGAAGCCACCCAGUACUGGGCGGGAGUUCGGGAGUAUUGCCAUAACUCAUAUAACAGAUGCUUUUUGUAAGUGCAUCUAGUGCCACCCCUAGUUGGUUUUGGAGUAUUGACGACAAAACUAGUUGAGGGACUAAUGUGUUUAUGAGAAUUGCAGGAUAACACAGGUAGAAGUCCCUCAUUGAUUCGGUUUUCCUACCAGAGAUGACCCCUAAAAAUGUAUGAAGACAUUGAAGUCAAAGGUGGUAUAUGAAGAUAUUCACAUUGAAGACUAUGACAAGAGAAGACAUCGCAUGAAGCCUAUGGAGCUCGAAGACUUAGAUCUUUCGUAGUUCUUUUUCUUCCUCUUUGUUGAGUCAUAGGAACCACCGUACUGUUAAGUGGGGUCCAAGAAAACCAGUCAGAAUGACUGAAGUGAUGCUUAAACAAAACCCAUGUCUUCGAGUGAAGACUUUGAGAGCGAAUCUUGUCCAGAGUCGGACAAGUCAGCUUUGCUUGUAGCCCAAGUAAAGUUGUCGUGUGAGUUUGAAAUCUGACCGUUGGAACACGUGUCAGUUCCUUAGUGACCCAGGGUCAUUUCGGACAAAUCAGGUCGGGUUGCCAAGUGGCUAUAAAUAGCCCACCCCCUACAACCAUAAACGGUUGGCUGCUCAGAUUCAGAGUAUGGCUUUUGUCGUUUGAGAGCAACCCACCUCGAAGCCUUUGAGAGAGAAUUCCUUGCGAGGAUAAAGCCCUAACCACCCAGAGCCAAAGAGAAUUAGGCAUCACUUAAGUCUUCUUGUCUGUGUGAUCUGAAGACUUAUUACACUUGAGGACUAUGAAUCCUCCAACCGGUUAGGCGUCGCGUUCUGAGCAUCCAAGAGACACUGUGGAUUGCCGGUGAACAAAGUCUGUGAAGGUUUGGGAGUCUACCUUGAAGACUUACCAGAGUGAUCGGGCGAGGUCUGUGUGACCUUAGCUCAAGGGGAAUACAGUGAGGACUGGGUUUCCUGAGCUGCGUGUUCAGGACUGGGUGUCCGGGACUGUGUGUCCUAAGGUUUAAAUACCUAGCCGCCCUAACCAGACGUACAGUUGUCACAGCAACUGGAACUGGUCCAACAAAUCAUUGUCUUCAAUGAGUCACUGGUUUCAAAUUUUCCUUCCCUUUACUUACUGUUGGUCCUUGUGAAGUCAUUGUAUGAUUGCACUAUCUUUUAUCUUCACUGAGUGAUUGUGUUUUCUGUUUGGCUUCAUAAUAUCUUCCUACCUGAUCCUUACUACAUUGCUGCUAUUAGUCAUUGUGCUUUCACUCCAUUGAAUACUUGACUAUGGCUUGCCUAGUGUAGUCUACCUUCCGCUGCAGGGUAAUAGGUUUAUUUCUAUCGUUUAUCCUCAUAACUUCCAUGUUUUGAAGAAUUUCAUAAAAAUCGCCUAUUCACCCCCCCCUCUAGUCGAUAUAACACACUUUCAAUUGGUACCAGAGCAAGGUGCUCCCUUGUUCUGUGUGAUUUGGUUUAACCACCUGGAGUUUUAGCUAUGUCAACUGCAGGGAUAAUUAAAGUCUCCGCUGCGUGCCCCGUCUUCGAUGGAACUGAAUAUCCCUACUGGAAGAAUAAGAUGCACAUGCAUCUUUAAGCCAUUGACGUCGACCUAUGGUAUGUCGUCAAGAACGGCGUUCCCAAGGCUAGAGAAGGUGUCACUGCUGCUGAUGUCAAGAAGUUCGUUCAAUUGGACUCUACUGCCAAGAAUAUCAUCUGUGGUUAUCUGACCAAAGGACAGUAUGGCUGUGUGGGUGGUUUGGAAACAUCUAAGCUGGUCUGGGACUGGCUCUCCAAGGUCAAUGAAGGCGUCUCAACCCAGAGAUAUCAGAGAAUCAGUGUCCUUCGCAACCUCUUCAACCGCUUCAAGCGAAAUGACAAUGAGAAUGUCCAGCUCACAUUUGACCGACUCACUGACAUCACAAAUGAGCUUCAAGCCCUCGGCGCUACUGAGAUCACCAAGCAUGAAGUCGUCAAGACACUACUUAAAUCACUUGAUAGUUCGUUUGACACCCUAGCCCUGAUGAUUCAAGAACGUCCUGAUUUCAAGACACUCGAUCCGUCUGACAUACUUGAGAGGCUCAACACACAUGAGUUUCAUCUUUCUGAGAAAAGAGAUAUCUACGGUCCAAACUAUGGGCGAACUCGUGCUUUGAAGGCAAAAGUUGUCUCCUCAUCUGAAGAAGAAUCUGACAGCAGUUCGGAUGAUCCUGAAGACAUUGGAAGGGAACUUGCUAUGCUUGUGAAGAAGUUCCAAAAAUUCACCAAGAAGAAAGGUUUCAGAAAGUCUUCCCGAUCAAGCUCAAGGAAUGAUGAAGCUUCUGCUCACGACUACAAGAAGAAAACAUGUCACAAGUGCAAGAAACCUGGCCACUUCAUCUCUGAGUGUCCGCAGUGGGACAAUGAGAACAAAAAGAAGAACAAGAUCAAGGAAUAUGACUCUGACGACAAGAAGAAGAAUAAAUACUCAAAGUCUUCUUCCAAGUCUUCCUCAAAGUCUUCAUCACACAAGAAGAGCUCAUCUAGCAAGGCACGUGUAUUUGUUGGCAAGGAAAUGGAUUUAGAGGAGGAGUCCGCUUCUGAGGAGGCGGAGGUGGAGUCUGAGGAGGAGUCCGAUUCAGGCGUCGCAAGUCUGGCUACAGCAUACGUUGCCAAGUCCAUCUUCAACACUGAAGACAAUGACGUCAUCACCGACACCGAUGCAAAUGACAAGGACUACUCCGCUUCGACCUACUGCUUCAUGGCACGCGGUGCCAAGGUAAACAUACGCACUACUCACUAUCAAACAUCUAGUGACGAUGACUCUGAUUGUGGUUGAAAACCCAGCUACAAAACACUUGCUAAAAUUGCAACUGUACAACAGAAAGCUAUGGAACAUAUUCAAAAACUGUUAGACAGAAGCGAUGAUCUGUUAGGUGCUGAAAUGACUCGAUCUGAGUCCUUAAUUGAAGACAUAAAAAAUCUUCACGUUAAGUAUGAGGAACUUGAAAGUCGUCAUGAAACUCUCUCAACAACUCAUGAAAAGCUUUCCUAUGAUUAUCUUCAAAGGAAGCAAAAUCUUGAGAAAUUGAGAGCGGCUCAUGAAGAUCUUCAAAAGGAAAAUGAGUCACUUCGCGCCGAACAGAUCAGCUCCGCUCAGGGAGGAUUUGAACCACCAUGUCUUAAAUGCAUUGAGCGUGAUAAUGCUACUAUUGUUGUUGAAUGUUCUAUUGCUGCUACUGUUGUAGUAUCUUCAACUGUUGAUGUGGGAACUAACCCCUCUGCUGAGGAUUCCACUGCUAUUGCUGAUGAGAAUGCUAGGUUGAAGACAUUGCUUGAAACAGGGAUGUACAAAAGUCUUAAAGGGCAUCAGACACUAUGUGAUGUCCUCAAAAAGCAGAUCUUGAACCGAAACCCGAGGAAAGAGGGUGUUGGGUUCGUAAGGAAAAUGAAUGCUGAUGGCUCUUACUGGAAACCUGAGCAGUAUCCCCAAAACCACAUGGGUUGCUGCAAAGGAAUUUUCAGCAGAUCCAUCCACUCUAUCUGGGUUCACUUGUGCAAACCCCAUUGUCAUUGAUGAAUCCUUUGAUGCAAACAAUAAACUGUUUAAGAAUCAGAAUGGUGAAGUGUUUUCCAGGUACAUUGGUACUAACUGCAGGAAUGGACCGCCUAUGCAGAAGAUCUGGGUUCCGAAAAAGUAUCUGGAGAAUCUUCCUGUGAAUGUCAUCAUGACACCUCACAUGAAGAAGACAAACCUCAGACCAAAGGCUUCAUACAGUCCAAAGGCUUCAUACAGACAGAGGACUCACCUGAGUCGCACUAACGCAAAUGUUUUGUAGGGAAACCAUACUCAGGCCUAUGAAUAUGAGAGCGGUUCAUCAAACCGCCAUGUUCAUAAGACCAAGAACUGUUCUGCUUAUUCUUAUGAGUACUAUUGUCCGCCUGCAAGACUGUUUGCUAGGGCUCCAAAGCCAAAGUUCUCAGAUGCUGCACUCAGACUUAUUGCUUCUAAGCCACCCUUGAAGAUGUGGGUGGCUAAGAAAGCUUAACUCUCUUUUGCAGGGAAAGGUCUCCAGCAGAAAACCAAAAUCGUCUGACGCUAUUGCUGGGGACCUUAAACAUCUUGUAGGGCGCAAGAUCAAAUGCCCGAAUGGUCUUACUAUGUACUUCGUUCCUGAAUCGCUUGAUACUCUCCCUAUUAGUCCUAAUCUGGAUCUAAGCUUUCAUAACCCACUGGUUCGUCAAAUGUUUUUGCUUCACAAUUCUCUUCGUGAAGCCUAUCCCCUAACUGCACUGUAGGGUACGACACCAGCGUCUUCAGAAUGGAUUAUUGAUAGUGGGUGUGCAAAUCACAUGACUGGCAAAAUAAGCCUUCUUAUGGACUCAACCUUACGUCCAUCCGACAAGAGCCACAUCACAUUUGCUGACACUUGUAAAAGUAAGGUAUUGGGUCUAGGUAGAGUUGCAAUCUCAAGGGAUCAACACAUGGAUAAAGUCAUGCUUGUUGAAUCCCUUGGCUUCAACUUAAUGUCUGUCUCAAUGCUUUGCGAUUUAAACAUGAUCGUAAUAUUUGGAAAAUAUCGUUGCCUUGUUAUAAUGGAAUCUGACAAGUCUCUAGUAUUUGAAGGGUAUUGAAAAGAUGAUUUGUACGUGGUAGAUUUCUCAGCAGGACCACAGCUUGCCGUAUGUCUUAGAGCAAAAGCUUCAGAAUGUUGGCUCUGGCAUCGGAGGCUUGGGCAUGCUGGCAUGAGGAACCUCCACACCCUGGCAAAGAAGAAGCAUGUCAUAGGCAUCGAGGGCAUCAAGUUCAAGAAAGAUCACUUAUGCGGUGCCUGUGAGGCAGGAAAGAUGACGAGGGCCAAACAUCCCUCGAAGACAAUCAUGACUACUACUCGACCCUUCGAACUGCUUCACAUGGAUCUUUUUGGUCCCACUCAUUACUCAACUCUUACUACUACUGCUUGUCUCUAUGGCUUUGUCAUUGUUGAUGAUUAUUCUAGAUAUACUUGGGUGCACAUAAUACUUUACAAGACUGAAGUGCAGGAUGUCUUCAGACGCUUCGCCAAUCGAGCAAUGAACAACUAUGGCGCCAAGAUAAAGCAUAUCAGAAGUGACAAUGGCACUGAAUUCAAGAACACUGGCCUUGAUACAUAUCUUGAUACCUUGGGUAUCACACAUGAAUUCUCAGUCCCGUACACGCCACAGCAGAAUGGCGUCGUCGAACGCAAGAACAGAACACUCAUUGAGAUGGCCAAAACGAUGCUAGAUGAAUACAAGACUCCAAGAAAAUUCUGGCCUAAAGCCAUUGAUACUGCAUGCCAUACAAUCAAUCGUGUUUAUCUUCACAAGCUUCUGAACAAGACAUCUUAUGAGCUCCUUGCUGUCAAGAAGCCAAAUGUCAGUUACUUCAGAGUAUUUGGCGCCAGGUGCUGGAUCAAGGACCCACAUCACACCUCAAAGUUUGCACCAAAAGCACAUGAGGGUUUUAUUCUUGGAUAUGGAAAGGAUUCGCACUCCUACAGAGUCUUCAAUCUCUUUCAUUAUAAAGUGGUUGAAACAGUGGAUGUGCGGUUCGAUGAGACCAACGGUUCACAAAGAGAGCACCUGCCAAAUGUGCUAGAUGAAGUUCCAUCCAGUGAAUCAAUCAAGCUAAUGGGAAUUGGAGAAAUUAUACCUUCUGAAUCUCAUCCUGAAGAAGAACUUAUCAUCUCAGCACCUGAUCAACCUGAAGACAAUGCUCAGCCCGAAGACAUUCCCUCUAACAACGACAAUGAUCAGCAAGAGCAAAAUCUUCGCCCUGUACAUCCUCGUGUUGCCAAUGAAGUGCAGAUUGAAAGAAUAAUUGAUAGCAUCAAUGCACCCGGUCCACUCACUCGUUCAAGGGCAACUCAGCUAGCAAAUUUCUGUGGGCACUUCGCAUUCGUCUCAAUAACAGAACCCAAGAAAGUUGAAGAAGCCUUCAUGGAACCUGAAUGGAUUCAAGCUAUGCAAGAAGAGCUUCAACAGUUUGAGCUGAAUAAUGUAUGGGAACUGGUUAAGCGUCCCGAUCCUCGGAAGCACAACAUAAUAGGCACAAAAUGGAUAUACCGCAACAAACAAGAUGAGCACGGUCAAGUUGUCAGAAACAAAGCUCGUCUCGUUGCUCAAGGAUGUACUCAAGUGGAAGGCAUUGACUUCGAUGAAACAUUUGCUCCUGUGGCUAGACUUGAAGCCAUACGCAUACUACUGGCCUAUGCAAAUCAUCACAACAUACUUCUUUAUCAAAUGGAUGUGAAGAGCGCCUUUCUCAAUGGCAAGAUUGAAGAAGAAGAGUAUGUUGCACAACCACCUGGCUUUGAAGAUCCAAAACAUCCUGACAUGGUAUACAAGCUCAACAAGGCACUAUAUGGCCUCAAACAAGCCCCUCGGGCCUGGUAUGACACACUCAAAUACUUCCUGAAGAGCAAAGGCUUCAUACCUGGUUCCCUCGACCCUACUCUCUUAACGAAGACAUAUGAUGGUGAACUGUUUGUGUGCCAAAUAUAUGUGGAUGACAUUAUCUUCAGGUGCACCAAUCAGAAGUACAGUGAAGAGUUUGGAUUUAUGAUACGAGCAAUAUCAAAUGUCUAUGAUGGGAGAGCUGAAGUUCUUUCUCGGUCUUCAAAUACGACAGCAACGCAACGGCAUCUUCAUAUCUAGAGAAGUAUCUCAAAGAUUGCCUGAAGAAGUUCGGUAUGCAAGACUGCAAAGGCUUCACGACGCCAAUGCCAGCCAAGCAUCAUCUGGGUCCUGACGACAAUGGUAAAGAGUUCGAUCAAAAGAUUUCUUACAACAUCAUAUAGAUUCUCCCGAAGCCAGUUCCUGUCUGUCCAGCAAGCGAAAGCCCUUGAAGCCUUUGAACGUAUUGAAGCCUUUCAGUUUAAAGUUCAUGGCUUCAGAGAAAUCAGCAAGGAAGGGUGGCAGAAAGCAUCAUGGAGAAACAUCAAGAGAUCUGCCAGACGACCUCUCAGAACUGUACAAGACAGAUCCUGAAGAGGAUUACAAUCAGUGCAAAACACGAAUCCAAUGGAUCCGACGCUAUUGGGCAGAACAGUGGUUCAAGUACAAAUUUGUGACAAAGGAAUAUGCUGAAAAGAAUGCCAUCAAGCAACCAUGGGGAGACAUCCUCUACAAAAAUCUUCAACCCAGGACCAGAGAUGAAGCCAUUGAACAAGGCUUCUAUCCCUACAUGGUCCGUGGACCACAGCCUGCAGAUGCUGACCCAUCGUCACUGCUAUGGUGUCGUGAUGACAUUCUGUUCAAGCGCAACUUUCAGUUUGCCCAGAACUCAGCGAAGCAGAACAAGAAGACAUUGGGACUAGACUUCAACCCUGGUCCUUCUGCUCCAAGGGCUGAUGGCACCCGUGAUGUAGAACCCAAUGCCAUCGGUCCUUUCUACAACCUUGAAGGUCUCAUCACCCAUAUCUUGGUUCAAGGGACAACCGUGAAUGAGCCUGCAGCUGACGCUGAAUCAGAUGAAGUGCCUGCAGCGCCGAAGCCAAAGAAGUUGAAGAAGCCUAACGCUUCAAAGCCUGCCCCUUCACCAAAAAUCUCACGAGCGAAGCCACUGGCAACUGCACCUCCUGAAGACAGUGUGUAGUCUGAAGAUUUGUCACGCAUCUCCAAGCCCCAGAAGGUCAAGAUGCCUCUGCCACACACCGGCAAAGAGCUAACUGCUGCUGCCAUUCUGCGCAAUGAUGUCAUUGAUCUAUCAAGUGAUGAAGAUCUUGCAGAUGACGCUCUUGAGCAACUCAUCAAGAGCAAAGAAGAAGCAGAAAUCUUCAAUGAUCUGCCGCUCUUUGAUGUAACAAUCAUCCACAACUUCAUUGAUGAAUGGUUUGACACGCCAAACAUCAGCUUCGACGAUCUGCAACUACCCAUUGGCCUCAGUGUCGCCUUCCAUGGCGCCAUUGCUUCAGAGUUAGCCAUCGCCCAGCGCAUUGUUGAACUGAAGCAGAAGAUUGACUUUGAGAAAUCUCAGUUCAAGAAGCAUAUGGCCAAGCUCAGCGUGUAAGACGUGAAGAACUUCAAGAUUAUGCUGCACGAGCUCAAGGAAGCCUUUCUAAAGAAACGUGCAGAAGCUCAGGGUUCUCGUGAGCGCAUGAAGCUCUUGGCUGAUAGGUGUGUGUAAGCCUACAAUGAGGCUGAGAAGCGCAAGGCCCUUGGGCGUCCUGGCAUCGACCCCAGGAUGGCUGCCAAGAAGACGAAGAAGCCCGCUAUGGCUGAACCCGAAGCACCAAGGCAGGAAGCAGAUCCCCUUGUCUUCCCAACUAGCAUGACUGGCCCGAAGCCAAAGGCCAGGUCAACUGCUUCAGAACUUCAGAAGACCAGGACUGCUGAGGCUGAAGCAAGGAAGAGAAAACAUCCUGAAGCCUCUGCUACUGCCCCUGCCAAGAAGAAAAGAAAGACCAAGAAGGAACGGGCUGCUCCCACAGAGCCCUUGAUUGUUGAACCCAUUUCCAUGGUUCACCCGGACGCCGAUCCAACAGAACGUUAAGUGACUGUCCAUGAGCCUGCUUUCACAGAGGCUCAUGAAGCUGAAGACUUUCCAGUAGUUGAUCCCAUCGCUGCUGAAGACAUUGGUCACCAUGACCAUGUUGAAGAUGAUGCAGCCCUUCCUCAGCUAGAGCACCAACAGGUAUCAUCGCCUAUGCUCACGCAUAGCGAACUCAUCAGCAUUGGUCGUCCACUGACGCCAAUUGCACAGGAUGCUUCAUGGGCGGAUCGCCCACAAGAGGAAGAAGACUUUGAGGCCCAGCCAACAACAACUCCACAGGCGUCACCCACGUUGCGCAGGCUUCGCAAAGGUCCAAGGCCUCAAGUCUCUGCUGAAGACAAUCCGGCUGCAUCAGCCGCUGAAGAAGAAGUCCCACAAGUUGCCAAUCCCCUGUCCCACCAAGAAGCGGUUCUCGAGGAGAACGUGAUCGUGACCGACCCUCCUGCUCGUCAAGUGGAGGUUGAACAUCUUGAGGCUGCCACCACCAACACCACUGAAGCCACUGACGUUGUCAUGGCUGAAGCUAAUGUGGAGCCCUCACCAACAAAAGCACCAGAAGUCAGCGAAGCCACUGAUCCCGUCGCUUCUGUUCCUGCGUCUGCUGCCGGUCCCCAGUUCGACUAUCAUGUUGAGCACAUGCCUCAGGUGCAAAAGCCAAUCCCAAGAUUGCCAAAGUUCCCAGGUCCUGCAUCAGCACCUGGCUCCUUCAAUAUCAAUGGCUUCAGAGCAGACAACACAUUCUUCAAUAGCUCCAGGAACCCCUACUCAAGGGAAAGAAUAUCAUCUGAUCGGUUCUGGAGUUAUCCGCGGAGAAGCUAUUACUCAUGCGUUCUUUACAACCAAGGUCGCAUUUUCCACACAAGCGCCUUGACAUUAAAGCAAUAGCUGGUCUGCCCUGUCUGGAAAAAGUUCUGGAUUGCUUCAAAGAGGUUGGACUGCUGCCGUUCGUCACUGACCAAGAGCAUUGGAAUGAAGAGUUGUUGCUCCAAUUCUAUGCCACACUUCACAUCCGCGGGUAUAGCAGAGAUCCGAAGACUUGGGUCCUGGAGUGGAUGACAGGAAACGUUCAUCAUGAAGCCAAAGCCUUUGACAUCAUUGAGCUCAAUGGUUUGCCCACUCCUGGCGAUCUCUAUGAGCAUGGCUGUCAGCUUCAUAGUGAAGCUAUUGAGAGCAUCUUUCAGAAGACUGAACCUAAUAUGAGUCAGAUGCUCAGUAUGAUGAAGCCAUUGCCCCAAGAUGCUGCUUAUCCCACGGAGUUCUUCGUUGAAGACCUUGAGUAUCUGCCAAGAACCAUUUAUCACAUCCUGAGGCGAACUCUCUGGCCAAUCAAAGGACAUUCUCCCCAUGCCAAGCUAGAAGGUGGAAUGAAGACUUCGGUCUUCUACAUUCUUCAUGGAAAAUGCUUCAAUACAUAGGAUUUCUUCAUUCACCAACUUGCUGCAUCUGGCUCUGAUCUGUUUGGUUUGAAGUUCUACGCCCCUUUGGGUGAUGCGGCUGAUCAAACUUCACUCCGCUAUCUCAUAUCAUCCCUCUGCCCGCAAUCAUCGGAUCUUUUUGCCUGAUGUGGAUAUGUCUAUUGAAGCCAUCUAUCCUGAGCCUGCCAAGGAACCUCUAAGUCUUCAUAAUGCAGAGCAUCAAAGUUUUUCUCAGAACGUUGAAGGCGUUGAAGCCGUAACUCGUGUGUAUCCUUUGGCUGGCACUACACGUGCACCGCAUCCUGCUCUCACUGAAGCCACUGACAGUACAACUGCUCCACGACCCAAGAAGCGCACUCGUGUUCUCAACGACCGAGAGCUUCUUCUGGAUCUUCAUCAGAAACAGGAUAGGCAUCAUGACUGGCUGAAGCAUCAAAUGCAAAGCCUCUUGGUGGAUUUUAAUCGCAUUCGCAGUCUUGCCACCAAGAAUGCUUUUGUUGCCAUGAAACCUCUCGCCGCACAUGGAAAGGGCUGACGCUGAUGUGUUCUGAAGAUGAUCUUCAAGAGGAUGGCUUCUCUGAGCGAUUCAAGUUUGACUCCACACCUCCUCGAAGGGCAGUGCUGCGAUGAACUCCAUCCCUUGAAGACUCUGAGUUCUCUUCCUCUGCUGCAACUGUGAAUGCCAGAGUGAUCGAGGAUGAAGACGAUGCUACUUCACCGCCACCUCCUUCAGCACGCUUUGACUCUGCUCCAAGCUCUUCUGCACCGCCAAACACCACCAACGACCCUGCUGCUUCACCUACUCUUCAUGGGAACGAGUAGAUGCUCUAUGUCUUUAAACCUUUUUGGUCCUUACUAACAAAAGGGGGAGAAGCAUAUGAGUUUUAUAGAAUUCAAGCGGGUCCAUAUGGGCGGGCGCUUUAUAUUUUGCUUCGUGCUUACAACUCCCGUUUUGCUACAUUGGGUUCUUUGAGUUGUAACACUUAAACUCGAUGGCCGGCUGCUACUUAUUUGCCACCUUGUGUUGCGAUGAUAAAUUCCGCAUGUACGACGAUAAAUUCCGCACUUAGAUCAUUCUGCAGACGUCCAUUUUCCAUUAUGCAUGUCAUUAUCUUCACAUACUUUCUCAUGCAUAGUGGAUUGUCAUCAUAAGUUGAAGUGGAUCUCCACAAGUACAACCUGCCAUGUGCAUUUGCAUUCCAAAAGCAAAUUACUUAUAUGCACAUCUUCAGGGGGAGCCCUUGCAACUUAUGAAGACAAUUCCUUAUCCUUUACAAUUUCACAGACUAUAUUCCCCGUUGAAAACUUCAACUAGUUUGUCAUCAAUCACCAAAAAGGGGGAGAUCGUAAGUGCAUCUAGUGCCACCCCUAGUUGGUUUUGGAGUAUUGACGACAAACCUAGUUGAGGGACUAAUGUGUUUGUGAGAAUUGCAGGAUAACACAGGUAGAAGUCCCUCAUUGAUUCGGUUUUCCUACCAGAGAUGACCCCUAAAAAUGUAUGAAGACAUUGAAGUCAAAGGUGGUAUAUGAAGAUAUUCACAUUAAAGACUAUGACAAGAGAAGACAUCGCAUGAAGCCUAUGGAGCUCGAAGACUUAGAUCUUUCGUAGUUCUUUUUCUUCCUCUUUGUUGAGUCAUAGGAACCACCGUACUGUUAAGUGGGGUCCAAGAGAACCAGUCAGAAUGACUGAAGUGAUGCUUAAACAAAACCUAUGUCUUCGAGUGAAGACUUUGAGAGCGAAUCUUGUCCAGAGUCGGACAAGUCAGCUUUGCUUGUAGCCCAAGUAAAGUUGCCGUGUGAGUUUGAAAUCUGACCGUUGGAACACGUGUCAGUUCCUUAGUGACCCAUGGUCAUUUCGGACAAAUCAGGUCGGGUUGCCAAGUGGCUAUAAAUAGCCCACCCCCUACAACCAUAAACGGUUGGCUGCUCAGAUUCAGAGUACGGCUUUUGUCGUUUGAGAGCAACCCACCUCGAAGCCUUUGAGAGAGAAUUCCUUGCGAGGAAAAAGCCCUAACCACCCAGAGCCAAAGAGAAUUAGGCAUCACUUAAGUCUUCUUGUCUGUGUGAUAUGAAGACUUAUUACACUUGAGGACUAUGAAUCCUCCAGCCGGUUAGGCGUCGCGUUCUGAGCAUCCAAGAGACAUUGUGGAUUGCCGGUGAACGAAGUCUGUGAAGGUUUAGGAGUCUACCUUGAAGACUUACCAGAGUGAUUGGGCGAGGUCUGUGUGACCUUAGCUCAAGGGGAAUACGGUGAGGACUGGGUGUCCUUAGCUGCGUGUUCAGGACUGGGUGUCUGGGACUGUGUGUCCUAAGGUUUAAAUACCUAGCCGCCUUAACCAGACGUACAGUUGUCACAGCAACUGGAACUGGUCCAACAAAUCAUUGUCUUCAACGAGUCACUGGUUUCAUCUUUUCCUUCCCUUUACUUACUGUUGGUCCUUGUGAAGUCAUUGUAUGAUUGCACUAUCUUUUAUCUUCACUGAGUGAUUGCGUUUUCUGUUUGGCUUCAUAAUAUCUUCCUACCUGAUCCUUACUACAUUGCUGCUAUUAGUCAUUGUGCUUUCACUCCAUUGAAUACUUGACUAUGGCUUGCCUAGUGUAGUCUACCUUCCGCUGCAGGGUAAUAGGUUUAUUUCUAUCGUUUGUCUUCAUAACUUCCACGUUUUGAAGACUUUCAUGAAAAUCGCCUAUUCACCCCCCUCUAGUCGAUAUAACACACUUUCACUUUUCGAAGGUUGAGGUACACGACUUCCGAAGGUUUCUUGGUUAUGUGUUGAAGGAUGGAUACAGCUGGAUGUAGGAAUUGUUAGUUUGGGUGAGAUAUUAUGCUUCCCCUGUAUCCCCAACACCUGAUUGCAUAACUAGAAAGUUUCGGGAGUUUAUAGGUGGGAAUUCAAGUAUCACGUAGGAUAUCUUUCCAACAGACACAUGAUACGAUAUGGGAUCUAUCAUAUGUUUGUUUCCGGCUUAUUUUGCAAGCCAAUCCUUUGUUUUGUUUCGGUUUGUGGUAUUCGAGUUGCUUCAAUGUCAAGCGUAGAUUCCAUACCUUUCCUAAGCAGUGUUCUCAUAUUUCUCUGUGUAUACUAAUCCUUCAUGAUAAUCGAGAUUGUCAUGUCAAUCCUUUUCAACCGGCGUGUUCCUCCUUAAGUGGAUCCGAUCAUUUUCAACAUCCGCAAGAUCAACUCUAAGUUAUUCUCAUCGGUAUUUGUUUCAUCCAUCCAAAGUUGCCUUUGUUUUCCCCGCCUCCCCACCCUUUCUUUUCUUCAAGGACUCAUAUAUCUUAAUCAAGUAUCCUUUUAUCGAUGGGAAGUCUCUCCAUUCUUUUCUGUCAAUGUUCUUACCAGGUGGUUCUCAUGAAGAUGCUCUUCAGGUUCAUCAUACUUCAUUGUUGUUUCUUCUUUGAUGGAUUCAAUGCAAUCUUUCGGUGUUGAUCAUAUCCUUCCCUCAUUUCAAAUGCUUUCCCAUGUCGGUGAACCUCUUAAUCAUCCACUUCUCUCCAUUCAUUUGUUCCGGAGUACUGAAGAUAUCUCAGGAGAUGCGUGUUUUCAUUCCUAAUCCGUUCAAGCUAUCUCGAGGUUGUUAUCUCAUUUAAGCCGUUUAAUUCAACCGGUGCAAUCUCCUUUUCAAGUAAUUGUUCAACGGUGUUUUCUCUUGAGUGGGCCCUAACCCAUAGGUCUUAUCCCAGGAUCUUACCUGACUCUUCUAUUUUCCCGGCGCUAUUCUCAAAUCUUUUAAAGUUUGUCGUAAGAAUGAGUUAUCGUCAGUCAAAUGCUUUUCUCCAAGAUCUUUCAAAUUCUUUUCAUCGUUGGCUCUACCUUUCUAAUUUCCAUUCCGGAGUGUCUCAACAAUUCAUGGUGUUUCUCGUCGUCAUUCUUGGAUUUUGAAGACCAAAGUGGAGUUCAUCUUAAAUCCUUACAUGUUCUUCCAAAGAUGUGUAAUUCAAGCUUGAUGCCAUCCUCUCAUAAUAGUUUUCGAUUGUGAGAAUUUUUUUCAUACCCAUCCGAAGCAUUUCAGGAGUCUUUUCAGUUUGAUUCUCCGGAGGCCAUCAUUUCGGAAGAUUUAUUCGUUCUCAACAUUCAGAUCUCAUUCCUCAAUUCUACCGGCCGGUGCAUCGUUCAAAUAUUCUCUAAUCAGUUCAUGAUCUAUUCUGUCUCGCGUAUUUAUAUUCUCUCAAGUAUCUUCGUUCUUUUCAUAAUUCUUCCCGGUGUUUCUUCAUCUUUUCUUUGUUCAUUUUCAAUUCUGACGGUGGUUCAUUCAAGAUUUCUCUUCCUUCGUUAUCAUAUAGAUUCAUUCAUUCUUUCAAAUCCUACCGGCGGUUCGUUGAAGUCUCUUCUCAAGUUUGCGCUAUAUCUAUCUUAAUCCUUUCUACAAAAAUAAGUAGUAUGCCAAAUCCGUUGCUUGUCAUCAAUUUAAAUUAGUGAAGGAUACACAUAACGUAAUUCAUAUUAUUGUUUCACCCAAGUGAGUAAUUCCUCCCUCUAGAGUUUGUUCAUGAUGAAUAAAUUCUUGGUUUCAAUUGCCCAUCUUUCUUUUCUGGAGUUCCAAGUUUUCUCGGUUACAUCGUCGCGAAGCUCCAUCUAAAUCAUUGCAAGGCUUCACCUUAUGUUCUCAACUUCUCUUUCUUUUUAUCAUCCUUUUAUUAUCGGAAUUCUUCAUGGGGGCUCUACAUGAUGGUUCAUCGAGGAUUUAAUUCCUUCUCGAAGUGCUCAUCGAGAUUCUUUUCAGAGGAGAUCAAGAAUUCUUCUUCUUGCAUUCCAAAGUGCAAUUCUUUCUACCUUAUCAUUUGAGGUGGUGUUAUGUCAUUGUUGAUAAUUUCCCUUCAUGUUUCAUGAUUCACAAGUUUUCAAGAGUGACAUAUCUAAAUCCAUCAUUUUCUCUUCGCUCAAGACAUACUUUCAACCAAUCAACCUCUUCAUUGGAAUUAUCUUGGGAUAUAUUUCACUUAAAGCUUUCCCUAAGGAUUUAUGCUAUUUAUGGUGCUUAUAAAUGACCCAAGUUCUUCAUUUAUCCUUCCGGUGAAAUAAGCUUCUCAUCUUCUUGUUGAUGUCAAUUCAAUCUAUUGUUUCUGUUAGUGGUAGAAUUUCACCUCAUAAUUUUGGGAUGUUUUCCAUAAGCCCACUACAAGCUUUUUCGUUUCAUUGGUGGUUUUCCAGCAACUCCGUUAUAACCUUCUUGGAAGGGUGUUUUCCAAGCUCAUUUGUGGUAGAAGUUGUCAUUUUCUAAUCAUGUAUUUCCUUUCCAAUGAUUCAACUUCUAUUCUUUCGUUCCGGAGGCAUAGCGAUGUUGCUCUCUUCACUCAUCAUCCCAUUUUUGUCAAAGAACAUGUUUUUUUUUCCUUUUUGCUUAUCCAUUCAACUGGAGUGAUGUGUCCUUCAUUCAAGUUCUUUCAUCUUAUCAAGUUUUGCCUCCCUUCUCAACUGGAGUGUCGUCUGAAAUCUUUCUUACCCCUUGUGCCAUUCUUUCAAUAGUUCUGGAGGCAGUGUGUUGUUGAUUUCAUCAAGUAUCCUCCCAUCUUGUCAAGAUCAUGUUCGAUUCCUUCCAUUUAUAGUCGAAGUGUUGUCCAAAUUAUAUCAUUCUUAUUCCUUCUCUAUCUUGUUUUAACCGGAGUGUUGUGUCUAUAAUUCCUCUUCUAACCGGAGUGCUUGCAUGUACUUCUUGUCCAUUGCAACCCCUUUUCUUAUGUCUUUCAACCUACAAGGUUCCCGUAAUGUUCCUUGUUCUUUUUUUAACGGAGUGUUUCAACUUUUUUCACCUUCGUUGUAUUCUUUCUUUCAAUUUGUUCAACCUCGCAAGGUUCUUUGGUUUCACAUAUUUGUCAAAGAAGCAAUUAGUUUUACCUCUUCUCUUCCUCUUCCGUUUCUCUCCGGUGCCAUCCUUAGAUCUCGGGAUGAGAUCCUCUUGUACUGGUGGAGUGUUGUAACGCCCCGAGCCCAAUGCUCCAGGUGUCUUUCAGUUUUUCGCUGUUGUUGCCUUGUCUUUCGCUUGCUGUUGCAUCUUGCCAUGUCAUCAUGUGAAUUGCAUCAUCAUGUUUUCAAAACUUGCAUUCGUCCGGGUCUACCAGUGCUUUCCAUUGUCCGUUCUGAGCCCAGACACACUCGCACGCGCCCCGCGGCACCUCCGAAAUAUUAUUUUAUAAGUGGCCAGAAAAUGUUCUCGAAAUGGGAUGAAAGUUGGCGUGCUGUCUUAUUAUAGUGUAGAUAGACCGCGUGUCAAAUUUCAUCGCAUACGGAGUCCGUUUGACGCCCCGACAGAUAACUAUAGCGGCAUUAUAGUCGGUCAAACGUCGGACGUUUCUGGUCUCCGAAAACGGUUGCCGGGUUGCUUUCCUCCUCUCUCUUCUCAGUCCAACCGCACACUUGACCUUGUUCGUCUAACCCUCUCUGCACAGUGCAUCGACCCCCUCGCGCGUCCGAAAGCUGUCCCGAACCCGACCCGGAUAGUCGUCACCGUUGGAUUAGGAUCAUCCCCAAACAUCUACAAAACAUCUCCGAUUCUUUGCUCGGUUCCCCUAAGCUAUUUAUUCUCGUCCGCCCGAUUACGAUCGGAGGGACGAGGUAGCCCCUAAUCUAAUCCACGCAAUGUAUAUAUGCGUCCAAACCCUAGUCCUAGGAUCUGUCCCAUCCAUCUUCUCCCAUCGCGCCGCCGCCACCCACUCACCAUCUCCAUCGGGAUCCUCCCAGAUCCACCUCUCCGCCACCGAAGCCUCCGGACACUUCCCUCGUUUUCAGCUUCUGACCAACCACCUCCUCCCAUCGAUCCAACCCAUGAAGCAUGGAAGCCCCGCAGGCAUCCAGCGCGCCCACAAGCUACUUCUCCCUGAUGCCCAUCGUCCCCGCCAUGGUUUUGGAGCUCAUAUCGGUUGCCGAUCUGAGCCACCCCGGGAAUCGACGCCGCCGGAGUCCCUCCUCACCUACAAGACCACCGCCGCUCUACCACCUCGUCUCCUCGUCCGACGCGACUCCUACCUCCUCUGCUUCUCCCUGUGCCGAACGACAAGCCGCAGCCCUCGUCCCAAGGUCCAGGCCGUCGCCGCGUGCCCAAGCUCCUCCGCCCCCCUGCAGACUCAUCUCCGGCCGUGCCGGUGACUAGUGGCCGCUCGCCGGAGCACACCGAACCAAUAGCUGCUCCAUGCCGUCGCCCCAGUCUUCCUCGCCCUCCUUCUCCUCCUUCCCCGCUGCUCUCUGUCUCUGAAAGUCCCUGCCUCCCAUCCCUGCAGGUGUGGUCGUCGACCGCCAUGGAGCCGCUGCCCUCGUUGUUCACCCGGAUGGGUCCCGAUCUGGAUCGCUCUGCUGCCGGGUCCAAGCCGCCGCCGUCCCAGGCUUCUACAGCCGCGCCGCCAUCAUCCCGGACGUCCCUGCUUCGCCUUGUCCAUCACCGUGGUCUCUGCUUCCUUUUGCACCGAGCCCGAGCCAGAGGACGAGCAGUUCGUUCGAUCCCUGCUCCCCUACCUCGCGUUGACCGUGCCUACAGCGCGCCAGGCCGCAGCCCAACCGCUUUCCCCUGCCAGCUGGGCUUGGCCCAUGGGUGAGCCACAAGCGCCCUCCUGUUUUUUUUCCAUUGUUGGGCCAGCUAGAUACGGCCCGAUGUGUUUUUUUUCGUACUGCAAAUUUAUCAUUUAACCUGGUCAUUGCAUAUUUACACGAUAUGCCAUCAUAUUGAAAUGCUCACAACUAAAUAACCGUGCAUCAGAUUAAAAUGUUUUAUGUAUGUAAAAUGCGUAGAAUUUUGUGUAGUUUCAUAAUAUCCAACUUCCAUGCAUGUUUAAAAUGUUUAAAAUGCUAUUUGAUUAAAUUUGCUCAAAUGCCAUGCUAAAAUGAUUUAUUUCAUAACUAAUUAACCGUAGCUGCAUUUUAAAUGAACUUUAUAUGUAAAUGGGGUAGAAAAAUGCCUAGUUUAACAUGGUGGCAUUACUUUGCAUGUUUAAUAACUCUAAAAUUGUGUUUAGGACAGAACAGUACCAAAUUCAAAUAUUGCAUAUGGGGAUUUUUCGGAAUUGUUGCUUGUUGUUCCGGCCUCAUUUAAACUUGCCUAGAUAGGUAGUUUUAUUAUGCUUCACCCCUUGCCAUGCUAACCAAUAUUUAAUUUUGUUGAGUACAUAAACAGGAGAAAACUAAAUAAGUCAUGUGGUGUUUCGUCAAUAUGCAACUCGUUGCAUAUUGAGCUCCACUUAACUUGUAGUUUUGCUUGUGCACUUCGCCAUGCCAUGCGUCAUUAAACCGGACAUGCAUCAUACUUGGUUGUGCAUCAUGCCAUGUUUAUGUAAUGGUUGUUUACUAUGUUGCUUGCUUUUUUCCGGGUUGCUUCUCUCGUUAGCUUCGGUUUUGUUUCGGAGUUGUGAGGAUUCGUUCGACUACGUCCGUUUGCCUUCUUCAUGGACUCGUUCUUCUUCCUUGCGGGACCUCAGAAAAGAUGACCAUACCCUCGAAAUCACUUCUAUCUUUGAUUGCUAGUUGUUCGCUCUACUGCUAUGUCGCGCUACCUACCACUUUCUUAUCAUGCCUCCCAUAUUGCCAUGUCAAGCCUCUAACCCACCUUUCCUAGCAAACCGUUGUUUGUCUAAGUUACCACUUUGCUCGGCCCCUCUUAUAGCGUUGUUAGUUGCGGGUGAAGCUGAAGUUUGUUCCAUGUUGGAACAUGGAUAUGUUGGGAUAUCACAAUAUCUAUUAUUUAAUUAAUGCAUCUAUAUACUUAGUAAAGGGUGGAAGCCUCGGCCUUAUGCCUGGUGUUUUGUUCCACUCUUGCCGCCCUAGUUUCCAUCAUACCGGUGUUAUGUUCCUUGAUUUUGUGUUCCUUACGCGGUUGCAUGUUAUGGGAACCCCUUGACAGUUUGCUUUGUGUCAGCGUUCUGGGAAUGGGGGUCCCCAGACUUGCCUGCCUGCGGCCUACGGCGUGGCUCGAGGAGGGGCCCAGCACGGCCCAUCUUCAUCAACACAGACCCAAGACCCUCGCGAGGGGUCAAGCCUCGCGGGGCGUACGACACAGAGCUUCCUCAGGCACGGCCUCAUCAGGCUGGCUCGCAAGGAGGCGGAGAGAUCAAGGCGGGGCACCACACGACGUGCCCGUGACGCAAGCCAUGACGACCAAGGGUGCCAGGCGGGCGUCAGCCCGCGCAGUGUCCUCCUUUCCUCUUUGGUGCAAAGGGAGUAAGCGCAGGCGAGGGCAUCAAGCAAAGGCACCCGUUUGGGUGCAACGAGACCAAGACCAGCCCAACGGCAGGGAGGAAGUCAUUGUGGAGCCCAAGCCAUCGUCACCACCAGAGCCUUUGGCAGGCGAGGACCAACUUUAGUUAGGAUAAGUGUACCAGAUGUUCCCCUUUGAAAUGGCCAAUUGUUGGCGCCCUUCCCGCUCAAUAUUUGGGAAGAGGCCCAGGGCCUUUGCCUAUAAAUAGGACUAGCCACCCCCAAGGUAGGAAGGGGAAAAAUCAGAGAGAGAGAGAGAAGGGUGACCGAACUCCUCCUAGCAGUUCGUCCCCCCAGCCAAGAACAGACCCUCGCGAGGCUGUUCUUCCUUGUAUUGCUCAUCAUCAUUAGCCCAAGAGGCAAUCCACCACACCACACACUUGAGUAGGGUAUUACACCACAACGGUGGCCCGAACCAGUAUAAACCCUGUGUCUCUUGUGCUGUUCUUUCCAUAGCUUGGAUCUUAGCGAGGCAGAGGGGUGCAGGUAGGUAGAAGGCGAAAUCUCCGCGCGCACCCCAGUGUUCGAACCUCAAGGGUCUGCCGGAACCCGAAAUCCGACAUUUG